AGAAAAAAAAAGAAAAGAAAAGAAAAAGAAAAAAAGAACAGAACAAAAGAACAGACCAGACAGACGGGGCUGCUGCUUCUUUCUUUCUUUCUUUCUUUCCCCCCCGAAGUUUCUCGACCUUGAUUUCCACGCUGC
This 135-nucleotide non-coding RNA is filed under the name uncultured Pelagophyceae. Lineage: Eukaryota; Pelagophyceae. The record is from RNAcentral.